UUGACCUCAAAUCAGGUAGGACUACCCGCUGAACUUAAGCAUAUCAAUAAGCGGAGGAAAAGAAACUAACAAGGAUUCCCCUAGUAACUGCGAGUGAAGCGGGAAGAGCUCAAAUUUGAAAUCUGGCGGUUCUUGACCGUCCGAGUUGUAAUCUAGAGAAGUGCUACCUGUGCUGGACCGUGUACAAGUCUCCUGGAAUGGAGCAUCACAGAGGGUGAGAAUCCCGUCUUUGACACGGACUGCCUGUACGUUGUGGUGCGCUCUCGAAGAGUCGAGUUGUUUGGGAAUGCAGCUCAAAAUGGGUGGUAAAUGCCAUCUAAAGCUAAAUAUUGGCGAGAGACCGAUAGCGAACAAGUACCGUGAGGGAAAGAUGAAAAGAACUUUGGAAAGAGAGUUAAACAGUACGUGAAAUUGCUGAAAGGGAAACGCUUGAAGUCAGUCGCGUCGGCUAGAAAUCAGCCUUGCUUUUGCUUGGUGUACUUUCUUGUUGAUGGGUCAGCAUCAAUUUUGACCAUCGGAUAAAGUCGUCGGGAAUGUGGCAUCUUCGGAUGUGUUAUAGCCUGGCGUCGCAUACGGUGGUUGGGAUUGAGGAGCUCAGCACGCCGCAAGGCCGGGUCUCUUGACCACGUCCGUGCUUAGGAUGCUGGCAUAAUGGCUUUAAUCGACCCGUC
This 671-nucleotide ribosomal RNA is filed under the name Inocybe nitidiuscula. RNAcentral describes it as "eukaryotic LSU rRNA". It matches the Rfam family "Eukaryotic large subunit ribosomal RNA", at positions 1 to 653 of the family's 3401-position model. The record is from RNAcentral. RNAcentral also lists the same sequence under 3 other names. Lineage: Eukaryota; Fungi; Basidiomycota; Agaricomycetes; Agaricales; Inocybaceae.